RNAcentral lists this ribosomal RNA (492 nucleotides) under uncultured bacterium. Its description in RNAcentral is "partial 16S ribosomal RNA". It matches the Rfam family "Bacterial small subunit ribosomal RNA", at positions 29 to 507 of the family's 1533-position model. The record is from RNAcentral.
AGUGAACGCUGGCGGUAGGCCUAACACAUGCAAGUCGAACGGCAGCACAGUAAGAGCUUGCUCUUACGGGUGGCGAGUGGCGGACGUGUGAGGAAUACAUCGGACUCUACUUUUUCGUGGGGGAUCACGUAGGGAAACUUACUCUCAUACCGCAUACGCCCUACGGGUGAAAGCAGGGGAUCUUCGGACCUUGCGCGAUUGAAUUAGCCGAUGUCGGAUUAGCUAGUUGGCGGGGUAAAGGCCCACCAAGGCGACGAUCCGUAGCUGGUCUGAGAGGAUGAUCAGCCACACUGGAACGGAAACACGGUCCAGACUCCUACGGGAGGCAGCAGUGGGGAAUAUGGGACAAUGGGCGCAAGCCUGAUACAGCCAUACCGCGUGGGUGAAGAAGGCGUUCGGGUUGUAAAGCCCGUUUGUUGGGAAAGAAAAGCAGUAGGUUAAGACCCAGCUGUUCUGACGGUACCCAAAGAAGAAGCACCGGCUAACUUCGUG